RNAcentral lists this ribosomal RNA (140 nucleotides) under uncultured eukaryote. Its description in RNAcentral is "partial 18S ribosomal RNA". It matches the Rfam family "Eukaryotic small subunit ribosomal RNA", at positions 1299 to 1458 of the family's 1831-position model. The record is from RNAcentral.
UGGUGGAGUGAUUUGUCUGGUUAAUUCCGAUAACGAACGAGACCUUAACCUGCUAAAUAGCUAGGCUGCUUCUUAAGCGGUCGUCAGCUUCUUAGAGGGACUGUUGCGCGAUUAGCCAACGGAAGUUUGAGGCAAUAACA